Molecule: ribosomal RNA, 206 nt
Filed under: uncultured bacterium
Lineage: Bacteria
Description: partial 16S ribosomal RNA
Rfam family: Bacterial small subunit ribosomal RNA
Source: RNAcentral
UGCGCAGGCGGUUCGUUGUGUCUGCUGUGAAAGCCCCGGGCUCAACCUGGGAAUGGCAGUGGAAACUGGCGAGCUGGAGUGUGGCAGAGGGGGGUGGAAUUCCGCGUGUAGCAGUGAAAUGCGUAGAGAUGCGGAGGAACACCGAUGGCGAAGGCAGCCCCCUGGGCUGACACUGACGCUCAGGCACGAAAGCGUGGGAGCAAACA